GAUGAACGCUGGCGGCGUGCCUAAUACAUGCAAGUCGAGCGAACGGACGAGAAGCUUGCUUUUCUGAUGUUAGCGGCGGACGGGUGAGUAACACGUGGAUAACCUACCUAUAAGACUGGGAUAACUUCGGGAAACCGGAGCUAAUACCGGAUAAUAUUUUGAACCGCAUGGUUCAAAAGUGAAAGACGGUCUUGCUGUCACUUAUAGAUGGAUCCGCGCUGCAUUAGCUAGUUGGUAAGGUAACGUCUUACCAAGGCAACGAUGCAUAGCCGACCUGAGAGGGUGAUCGGCCACACUGGAACUGAGACACGGUCCAGACUCCUACGGGAGGCAGUAGUAGGGAAUCUUCCGCAAUGGGCGAAAGCCUGACGGAGCAACGCCGCGUGAGUGAUGAAGGUCUUCGGAUCGUAAAACUCUGUUAUUAGGGAAGAACAUAUGUGUAAGUAACUGUGCACAUCUUGACGGUACCUAAGCAGAAAGCCACGGCUAACUACGU
This 496-nucleotide ribosomal RNA is filed under the name uncultured bacterium. RNAcentral describes it as "partial 16S ribosomal RNA". It matches the Rfam family "Bacterial small subunit ribosomal RNA", at positions 28 to 506 of the family's 1533-position model. The record is from RNAcentral.